This 459-nucleotide ribosomal RNA is filed under the name uncultured Lactobacillus sp. RNAcentral's name for it is "bacterial SSU rRNA". It matches the Rfam family "Bacterial small subunit ribosomal RNA", at positions 341 to 792 of the family's 1533-position model. The record is from RNAcentral. Lineage: Bacteria; Bacillati; Bacillota; Bacilli; Lactobacillales; Lactobacillaceae.
ACGGGAGGCAGCAGUAGGGAAUCUUCCACAAUGGACGAAAGUCUGAUGGAGCAACGCCGCGUGAAUGAAGAAGGCCUUCGGGUCGUAAAAUUCUGUUGUCAGAGAAGAACGUGCGUGAGAGUAACUGUUCACGUAUUGACGGUAUCUGACCAGAAAGCCACGGCUAACUACGUGCCAGCAGCCGCGGUAAUACGUAGGUGGCGAGCGUUGUCCGGAUUUAUUGGGCGUAAAGGGAACGCAGGCGGUCUUUUAAGUCUGAUGUGAAAGCCUUCGGCUUAACCGAAGUAGUGCAUUGGAAACUGGAAGACUUGAGUGCAGAAGAGGAGAGUGGAACUCCAUGUGUAGCGGUGAAAUGCGUAGAUAUAUGGAAGAACACCAGUGGCGAAAGCGGCUCUCUGGUCUGUAACUGACGCUGAGGUUCGAAAGCGUGGGUAGCAAACAGGAUUAGAUACCCUGGUA